GGGGGAGAAGGUUGAGAGAAAUGCCGAAGAGACAAUAAACUGAAAAGUACCUCACAACUCGAAACAGCUUGACCUGAAUACCUCAAAUUGCAUAAUGACAACCAUAAGGCUGAAAGCUGUCUGGAUUCCAGAAGUUUGGAGCUCCUUUCCUACCCUGGAUAAUGUUCUUACUGAUGACCUCACCAAAGGUGAAGCAACAGGAGGUAGAAGAUUGGUCCAGUGGAGGGGAAACAGCUGACAAUCAACACUCAGAGGAAAUCUAGCUACACAGAAACCUGGCCCUUAAUGGAGGAGAGUGCACUCUAGUUGGACCAAUUCUGCCCUUAGGAUGACAAUAGAUGUAGCACAUCAGCCGCCUUGGUUCCAUUUCCUGCACCUGUUGAACACCACAGUAAGACACAGUGAUGCCACCAAUAUUUAGUGUGAUUUUUGAAAACCUGAAAAUAUGUCAUAUACUGCUUUGAUUGGGCCUAUUUCACAAAACAAAGAUUAAGUCUGGAUUUUCUGGAUAUCCUGGCUUAAUGAAGCCUCAAGUUUUAUGAAAGCAUUAAAACAUCAGUUUCCAUGGUGAUUUAUUUUGUUCAGCUACCCCGUUCCCUACCAGGCUAACAACAAGCAUGCUGGAGCCUGGUCCCUAAUCUGUUUAGUGAUUCUGUUACCUCAUCUGCAUGUUUUUUAUUAUUAUUAUUUUUAUCAGCCUGCAGACAUGCUGCUUUUCACCCUAAUUGUGAUACAAACUGUAAAGCUAUAACCUAUAAGACAAAAUCCAAAACAAGUUGCUUCUCAUUUCUAAC
Long non-coding RNA from Cyprinodon variegatus (sheepshead minnow), 794 nucleotides. RefSeq lists it as uncharacterized. The record is from RefSeq and is a predicted model, not a curated record. The transcript is spliced from 3 exons. NCBI's taxonomy places the organism in Eukaryota, Metazoa, Chordata, Actinopteri, Cyprinodontiformes, Cyprinodontidae.